This 171-nucleotide ribosomal RNA is filed under the name Poromycena sp. RNAcentral's name for it is "partial large subunit ribosomal RNA". It matches the Rfam family "Eukaryotic large subunit ribosomal RNA", at positions 99 to 261 of the family's 3401-position model. Lineage: Eukaryota; Fungi; Basidiomycota; Agaricomycetes; Agaricales; Mycenaceae. The record is from RNAcentral.
CGGGAAAAGCUCAAAUUUAAAAUCUGGCGGUUCUUGUAGCCGUCCGAGUUGUAAUUUAGAGAAGCGUUAUCCGCGCUGGACCGUGUACAAGUCUCCUGGAAUGGAGCGUCAUAGAGGGUGAGAAUCCCGUCUUUGACACGGACUACCAGGGCAUUGUGAUGCGCUCUCAAA